AUUGAACGCUGGCGGCAGGCUUAACACAUGCAAGUCGAGCGGGGGAAGGUAGCUUGCUACUGGACCUAGCGGCGGACGGGUGAGUAAUGCUUAGGAAUCUGCCUAUUAGUGGGGGACAACAUCUCGAAAGGGAUGCUAAUACCGCAUACGUCCUACGGGAGAAAGCAGGGGAUCUUCGGACCUUGCGCUAAUAGAUGAGCCUAGGUCGGAUUAGCUAGUUGGUGGGGUAAAGGCCUACCAAGGCGACGAUCUGUAGCGGGUCUGAGAGGAUGAUCCGCCACACUGGGACUGAGACACGGCCCAGACUCCUACGGGAGGCAGCAGUGGGGAAUAUUGGACAAUGGGGGGAACCCUGAUCCAGCCAUGCCGCGUGUGUGAAGAAGGCCUUAUGGUUGUAAAGCACUUUAAGCGAGGAGGAGGCUCUUUUGGUUAAUACCCAGAAUGAGUGGACGUUACUCGCAGAAUAAGCACCGGCUAACUCUGUGCCAGCAGCCGCCGUAA
This 501-nucleotide ribosomal RNA is filed under the name uncultured bacterium. RNAcentral's name for it is "partial 16S ribosomal RNA". It matches the Rfam family "Bacterial small subunit ribosomal RNA", at positions 30 to 523 of the family's 1533-position model. The record is from RNAcentral.